GACGAACGCUGGCGGCGUGCUUAACACAUGCAAGUCGAACGGAAAGGCCCUGCUUUUGUGGGGUGCUCGAGUGGCGAACGGGUGAGUAACACGUGAGUAACCUUCCCUUGACUUUGGGAUAACUUCAGGAAACUGGGGCUCAUACCGGAUAGGAGCUCCUGCUGCAUGGUGGGGGUUGGAAAGUUUCGGCGGUUCGGGAUGGACUCGCGGCUUAUCAGCUUGUUGGUGGGGUAGUGGCUUACCAAGGCUUUGACGGGUAGCCGGCCUGAGAGGGUGACCGGCCACAUUGGGACUGAGAUACGGCCCAGACUCCUACGGGAGGCAGCAGUGGGGAAUAUUGCACAAUGGGCGGAAGCCUGAUGCAGCAACGCCGCGUGCGGGAUGACGGCCUUCGGGUUGUAAACCGCUUUCGCCUGUGACGAAGCGUGAGUGACGGUAAUGGGUAGAGAAGCACCGGCUAACUACGUG
RNAcentral lists this ribosomal RNA (468 nucleotides) under uncultured bacterium. RNAcentral's name for it is "partial 16S ribosomal RNA". It matches the Rfam family "Bacterial small subunit ribosomal RNA", at positions 28 to 507 of the family's 1533-position model. The record is from RNAcentral.